This 563-nucleotide ribosomal RNA is filed under the name uncultured bacterium. RNAcentral describes it as "bacterial SSU rRNA". It matches the Rfam family "Bacterial small subunit ribosomal RNA", at positions 338 to 916 of the family's 1533-position model. The record is from RNAcentral.
CCUACGGGAGGCAGCAGUUAAGAAUCUUGCGCAAUGGGGGAAACCCUGACGCAGCGACACCGCGUGGGGGAAGAAGGCCUCAGGGUUGUAAACCCCUUUUCUGUGGGAAGAGAUAGGACGGUACCACAGGAAUAAGCAUCGGCUAACUACGUGCCAGCAGCCGCGGUAAUACGUAGGAUGCAAGCGUUGUCCGGAUUUACUGGGCGUAAAGGGUGUGUAGGCGGCAUGUUAAGUCUCAUGUGAAAUCUCCCGGCUCAACUGGGAGGGGUCAUGGGAAACUGGCAAGCUGGAGGGCAGCAGAGGAAAGCGGAAUUCCGGGAGUAGUGGUGGAAUGCGUAGAUACCCGGAGGAACACCAGAGGCGAAGGCGGCUUUCUGGGCUGUACCUGACGCUGAGACACGAAAGCGUGGGGAGCGAACCGGAUUAGAUACCCGGGUAGUCCACGCCCUAAACGAUGGAUACUAGAUAUAGGGGGUAUUGACCCCUCCUGUGUCGGAGUUAACGCGAUAAGUAUCCCGCCUGGGGAGUACGGCCGCAAGGCUAAAACUCAAAGGAAUUGACGG